CAGGUGCUGCAUGGCUGUCGUCAGCUCGUGUUGUGAAAUGUUGGGUUAAGUCCCGCAACGAGCGCAACCCUUAUCCUUUGUUGCCAGCGGUCCGGCCGGGAACUCAAAGGAGACUGCCAGUGAUAAACUGGAGGAAGGUGGGGAUGACGUCAAGUCAUCAUGGCCCUUACGACCAGGGCUACACACGUGCUACAAUGGCGCAUACAAAGAGAAGCGACCUCGCGAGAGCAAGCGGACCUCAUAAAGUGCGUCGUAGUCCGGAUUGGAGUCUGCAACUCGACUCCAUGAAGUCGGAAUCGCUAGUAAUCGUGGAUCAGAAUGCCACGGUGAAUACGUUCCCGGGCCUUGUACACACCGCCCGUCACACCAUGGGAGUGGGUUGCAAAAGAAGUAGGUAGCUUAACCUUCGGGAGGGCGCUUACCACUUUGUGAUUCAUGACUGGGGUGAAGUCGUAACAAGGUAACCGUAGGGGAACCUGCGGUUGGAUCACCUCCUUACCUUAAAGAAGC
Molecule: ribosomal RNA, 510 nt
Filed under: Escherichia coli
Lineage: Bacteria; Pseudomonadati; Pseudomonadota; Gammaproteobacteria; Enterobacterales; Enterobacteriaceae
Also listed under: 1 other name
Description: bacterial SSU rRNA
Rfam family: Bacterial small subunit ribosomal RNA
Source: RNAcentral